RNAcentral lists this ribosomal RNA (473 nucleotides) under Orthopyxis crenata. RNAcentral describes it as "partial 16S ribosomal RNA". It matches the Rfam family "Bacterial large subunit ribosomal RNA", at positions 1809 to 2469 of the family's 2925-position model. The record is from RNAcentral. Lineage: Eukaryota; Metazoa; Cnidaria; Hydrozoa; Leptothecata; Campanulariidae.
AAAAACAUAGCCCUAGAUAAAAUCUAAGGUGUAACCUGCCCAGUGGUUUAGAUAUAAGAGAUAAAAUCUUUGAACUUAAACUAAAAGGACGCGGUAACCUUGACCGUGAUAAUGUAGCAUAAUCACUCGCCAUUUAAUUGAUGGAUAGUAUGAAUGGUUGAACGAAUAUUUCACUGUCUUAAAAAGAAUCAAAUAAAAUUAAACUAAUAGUCAAGAUACUAUUUAAAAUUGUAAGACGAAAAGACCCUAUAGAGCUUAACUAUAAUUUUCUUAUUAUAAAGAAAAUAUAAAUUUCUAUCUUAAGAAAAUUGGUAGUUUAGUUGGGGCGACUACCUUCUAAUUAUAACGAAGGUAAGCAAAGUUAAUAAUAAACUUAUUAUAUAAAUAAAAAUUUUAAUAAUUACAAAAGUAGGCUAUAAUGACCCGUUAGUAUUUUGAAAAAGAACUAACGAUCAAUUAAUAAAAGCUACCUU